Long non-coding RNA from Lolium rigidum, 2096 nucleotides. RefSeq lists it as uncharacterized. The transcript has 4 exons. The record is from RefSeq and is a predicted model, not a curated record. Lineage: Eukaryota; Viridiplantae; Streptophyta; Magnoliopsida; Poales; Poaceae.
AAAUCCUCCUUUGCCCUCCAAUCCGCCUCCGCCGCGCAGCCAUUCUUCCUGCGCGUGCGACGCCAACUCUCACUCUCGGCUGAACAGCGAAGGUAGGUUACGAAUUCCACAAUCUUGGCGUCUUUUAGUUCUAUUUAGUCGGAUUUGUGUAGUAGCAUUGACCAAAUUUGUUUCUUCUCCGGCUACGGCGCCGGCCAAGUUUGCAUUCCGUCCAGGCUUUCCAGUGGGCUCGGCCUUCUCUUCCGCCGCGAGGCUCCCUUGUUCGUCCUCCUCCUGUCGUCUCUCCCUGGCCGCAGAGUCGCACACCGCCGUUCCACCUCCACCCAUGCCAUGGCCCCAUAACCCCAUCGCUGCUUUGGUCUGCGAGGUGAGGCUAGGAAAGCAGUAUGCCUGCGGUUGCCAAUCUCCCUCUAUUCUGCUCGAUUUUGAAAAACCCGCUGUAAGAGCCCGCCCAAAUCCAUUGAUCCGCCCAAAUCGAUUGCUUCUUCUCCGGUGAUGGCGCCGGUGCGGUUCGGAUGACGCGCAAGCAGCGGACUGGGCUCCCUCCAAGAGGGCCUAGCAUUCUUCAAUUCGCCCAUGGACCCGGCCAAACUUCCGAGGAACGGCUCCCCCUUCCGUUCGUAUGGGCAUCGUCGUGUUAAUGGUAUGUAAACUGAAACCGCCAGCGCUGUAAUCAUGGUGGUAAUAAUGGUGAUUAGUGUCACAGUUAUGCUCAGGUCUCUUCUGUACUUGAUAAAUAUGGAUACGCAUCGAGCAAUUGUAUUUCUGUGCCCAUUAUGUCUCGCCUUCAACCUCUAAUUUUCAUCAGAGAUGUUUCUUGCUUAAGGUUUGCACUUCUCUGUUUACCCACCAUCCUCCUUCUCCGUAACUUCAUCGGCGGCAACCAGGCAACAUUAGGUAACCAAUUGACUUAGUGUUCUUUGUUUCAGGUCUUGCCGUGCUUGUUUGUCUAGGACUUUUAUUUAGGGGCUGCUCACACCAACUGUGUGACCUUCAUUUGUGACCAUGGCUGCUGACAGGGAGAAAGAAGAAGGGUCGUGAGCCAUGCGAGGACGACGUUGGGUUUCACAUGGAACAAAUAGGACUGAGCCUGUCUUGCAUGGUCCAAGAUAAGAGGUUUGCUAGAAAAGCCAGGAUACAUACUUGUUUGGUCAGAGACUAGAUGGAAAAUCUAAGGUAUACAUACUGCUGACAUUACUUAGUACCAUGAUACACCAGAAAGGGAUGUUCUGAUCCUCACAUGCAAUUAAAUUCCUUUUAUUCUCAUUGUGAUGCACCUAACUGUACUAGGGUCAAACAACAAGCUUUUCCCCACAAAAUGUGGAAUCCAUGGCUGUAUGGUUAACAAAAUAAUCAACAGACAUUGAUUUAUUAUUUUCAGAAACAAGCAUUAUACUGCUACUCGUGAAGACAAGAAGCAUGAGAAUUCACCGAAGAAUCAAACAAAUUACCAAUGCCCGCACUCCUUCCUCGAGGUAUCUAGAAUUUGUUGUGUUCUGAAUUUAUCCCACUAUCGUAGAUAGAUAUGUUUUUUCUAACCAUAUGGUUGUGUUUCCAAGAUUGGGAACAGGAAAAUUCUAACCAUAUGGUUCUGUUUGAACUGCAACAUUUAAUAUUAUUAUUGAAACACAAUUAAAUAAAUGAAAUAGUAAAACAAGAAAGGGUAUGAGAAGUUUGAUAAGCCAGGGUCAUGUACUUCUCAAUUCAAAUGGUUAGAUUUUCGAAUGGCUUUAGUGGUCAUAUCUUAUAGCAUGUUUUAUUCCCACAAGUUAUUUGGAAGCUCUAGAAAUAUUUAAUUCCCUCCAUCUACUACUGUCAAAUAUGUUGAUACAGGCUCAACAUGUAUAUUUUACAAAGAAGCCCUUUUACUGUGAUCAAGGCAUGUUGCAAGCACUCUGAUGGAUGCGGGGUUAUACAUACAUAUGCACUCUAGAAUGCAUAACAUGAGUUGCAGACAAUGUUGCCACUAAAGAUGUUGUUUGUCGUCUGAAAAAAUUUGAAUUGGAUCACUUCAUCAAGUCAUAAAUGUUGUUAGAUUGACACCAGCUGGACAUAUACAAUUUAUUUAGCAUUAUUUCUGAAUUUUCAUGAAACAA